This is an RNA transcript of Centrocercus urophasianus (Greater sage-grouse), 14344 nucleotides long. It is a transcript of the gene named RecQ mediated genome instability 2, with no coding region annotated. NCBI's taxonomy places the organism in Eukaryota, Metazoa, Chordata, Aves, Galliformes, Phasianidae. The transcript is spliced from 8 exons. The record is from RefSeq and is a predicted model, not a curated record.
UGAGCUCUGCCUGGAAGAUUUGAAGUGCAUACAUUUCAUGGUUUGGUUUCUGACUUCUGAGAAUGGAUUCUAAAGACACGCAGGGAGAAUAUGAAACUGGGCUGGAAUUUACCAUUCAGGAAAGUCUCAAGCUGAAAGGGAGAUAAAAUCCAGUUAAAUUUUGGGAGAUUCCUGGAAGCAACUAUCCAGCAAGAAGGAUGCACAUCAUUGAUGAGGACCUCCUCCUAGGAACAAAGAACCAGGAAAAGAAAGCAAUCAAGGAAAAAAAGUGAGUGUGAACCAGAACAGAAAUGGAGAAAGACUGAAGAGGGGGAAAAAAGUAGAAAACCUAAGAAAGCCAAAAAGCCUGAAGAUAAACAUCAAAGGUGCUACAAGUAAGCAAGGGUUCCAGCAUCAUCAGCAAUUCUUUUCUGAGUGUUUCUCAUGUCUUCCUCUUGUUCCUUGUUUCUAACUUAGCUAUAGAAUGUGAUCUGCAUGGGGGCUCUGUCAUUAGGUUGAUCAAGUGAGGAUAGGAAAGAUACUGGUGAUCUGAGUUCCGACAGAGAUUGGGUCCACAUUGUUAGAAUCACAUCUGCUCGCUGUUCUUGAUGAGGUUAUGGCAAUUUUAUUCAGUUGCACACAUUCCAGAAACAGACAUUGUUACUGAAAUAGUUUCUGAAUGAAAUAUGAUCAUCAAAGGACAUGUUCGCGUUUUCAGAUAUGGACGACCAGAAGUUUUAAUCUGAAAAUACAAUUUGGGGAGGAAGCUGAUUGUUCACAAGUCCUUGUAUAAACUUGGAUAGUGUAUGUAUCCCUUUCCUCAGAAAAAAUUAAGGACUGGACCGAGGACUUAAAAAUAUCACUGCUCUAAAUCCAGUUUUUUCAUGAUAUUCAUGACAGAGGCAUCCUGAUUGUACUUAAUCUGAUUGUACUCAGGAGCCGCGUGCAUCUGCUCCGACACGCUGUGAGUUCUGUGGCCAGCAGAUGGCGAACUCCUUUCGUUUUUCAAAGCCAGGUAGAAGUGCAGCAGGAAAGUGGAAGUCUUGCAUCCCACUGCAGCAGCCAGGGCAUUCAGGUUAUUGGGCUGUGCCAGUGAAAGAGAUGUCCCUUGAGAGAUGUGACAGUGGUACCCCGCAGGCAGGGCAAAGGGGGCUGUGCAAAGCAAUUGCAUUUUGUCAAGGAAGAGUGGGUGGUAUUUCCUCAUUACUCCUUGUGGUGGUCAGUGUUUAAGAGGAAAGGGGUGGGGGGAGGGGAAAGAGGGGUCUCUUAAGCAGGAUUGUCUGUGAUUUGAGGAAAAUCCAGAUUGGUGGGAGGAGCACUUCAUUUCCUUCACUCCUAUGUGUUCUCUCUAGCAAGUUUGUAAAAGCUUCUGCUGUCGUGGCUAUUACUCAGUCAGUUUGACCACAAGAUCAUUCACAGAACAAGGAUGUUGUCCAAGCAAACCUUCAGGUUUGUUUGCCGUUUGCUGUUAAAGCAGGUAGUUUUGUCCUCCUGUUCUCUACUGUUAGUUAGCAUAGCACUGAAAUACAGGCACGUUUACUGUGAGGCUCUUGGAAGCCACCUCAGUCAGCUCGGUCUGGGAUCACAGGUCAACUGUGCGCAGCUUUGUGACUGACCUAGAACUGCUGAACCAGUUACAUGUUGCAUCUCAGAACAGGGAUGACAGUGCUUCCCUUUUCCUUUCAGAUGCAAACUACCAAUCAGCACCAUCACCUCACUAUAAAGAGAGCCAACAAGGACGAGACUUGCUGUACUAAAAAAGCUCUCCAUCAAAUCCAGGCUUUAACCUCUGAAACCAACCACUCAGCGUUAUCAAAAUCAGCAUCUUAAUUAUUCUUUUCUUUAAUCAGUAAUUCCCUUUCAUGACAAUGCAGGGCUUUUAGGUCUUUAAACAAAUGUAAUCUUAAUUGAAUAAAGAAAUAAAAAUUAAUGGCCACUUUGAUCUCUCAGAUCCCCCUCCUCCUGCAGCAGCCAGGCAUCUGUCAGCUCUCCUUAGCACUUUCCUUUUGGACAGCCUCUGGUCUUGUGUGCAACACAGGAACUUCACUGGCUGUGCUCGUGAGGUGAGCAUAGCAGAGCUCCUCUGGGGAGUUCCAGUCUGACUCUGGAGUCACCUCCCACUGAAGUGCAGCUGUUCAGAGGGAAUGACUGCUCUUACUGCACGUGAGCAGGGAACCUGCCUUAAUUACGGUUUCAUCUGAAUAAGUUGUCUGGUGUGUUAAGAAGGGUGCUUACAGGAGCAGUUAUCAUCCAUGCUAUAAAUUGACUCCAUCUCUACACACAAAUCUGACCAAUUAACACUCAGCUCUGCUAAAUGAGGAGCUCUACAACAGCAUAUAGUUUCACACUUUAUUUUUGAGAAUGUCCAGGUUUAAGCAAAAGGUCUUAAUGAUAAAUGACAACGUUAAUAUUGCAGUGGAUUUACACAGAACAUUACAUUUUUAACAAUGAUUGAUACGGAGUAUUUGUCAUGCAAAUUACUUGUGUACACCAAGUAAUGCUUAUAUCAAUACAUAUCUGUACAGAAUUUACAUCUUAUAUUUAUACUCUAACUAGAAACAUUUUCCAAGAAAAUAUAGAAAAGAAACUGGUAAGCCACAAGUCUUCAUUUGUAGCAUUUGGUCUACAACAGACCCAGCUUUUCCAGCAAGCAUAUCUACAUAGAUAUGUAAUAAACUUUAAAAAAUAUGUAUUGUUUUUAUAUAUGAAGCAUUAUAAAUGCUGCUUGGGUUAUAAAGGUUGUUUUGUACCGGUUUAAAACUGUUCAAGAUGUUAAGCAGUGUAGAACUUACUUUGUCAGAGUAUUGUAAAAUUUAAGUCAGUCCAGCUGAGCUUAAGUGUUGUGUACAGUUCUCUCCCCAGACUGCACUGGCACCGUGGCUGAAGGUAAUGGCCACAAGGUUUGGAUAUUAGAGAAGCCAUACUUGUGGCAGAAGCAGUAGUGGCUCUUGCUAGCUCCUGCAGUUUCAGAAGGCAAUGGUAAAACCAAAGAGCUGAACAAUUACACAGCUUUCAGUGCAACAGGAAGGGAGAAGGCUGUUAUUCCCAGGGGACUUUUCCUCAGCACGGCCAAACGCUAGCAGGUAUUGCUUUAGGCCACAGAGCAGCUCGCUGUGCUAAGCUACACCUGGACUUGAGGCCCAAUCGGGAAGGGAAAGGUUGAGAGAUUUUUCUUUACCCUCAUGGAUAGUACCUGAACUUGGCCUGAACUUUCACAAGCCACUUUGUUUUACUGGCCUCGUGACCAGUGGAAAUUCUGGGCCAGUUUCACUCCGUGUUAAUACUGUUACAAAUAAAACAACCACCAUUUAAAAUCAAAUAUCAUUACAAACAAGAAAGACAUUCCAUUAGCUUUGGUAAAUUAAAUAGCUAUAUUGAGCACCGCAAGUAGCUGUUUUAGAUCUCACAUUUUAAUGCUACAAAAUACUAUAUUUCCUGCUAUAGUAUCCUCAGAUAGCUGUUACUGUGAAUAAUUACUUGUGCAGGAUAUAAGAACUUCCAGCUAAGUACAGCAAAUGAACUCUCAAGGCAUUUCCUUCAUGCUUAUCAGCAGACUUCCUCAUCUGGUUAAAUAAAUACACUUUCUUGCAGAUGAUAUCUCAGAAGAUAAGAAUCAAUUUUAAAAAAAGUGCUUCAUGGCUUAUAAGUGUUUUGGUAAUCUCAUAUUUCUCCGGGCAUAGACUUUGCUGUGUUUUACCUUUGCACUCACUGGCUCCUGUGACAAAUCUCAUCCAGAGCUGCAGCUGGGGAGUGCAUGGCUUCAAAGGAGAAGGCGAAGUUGUGCAGCAGAAGACUCAAGUCUUCUAGCAGCUGCUUUGCAGACACAGCAUCUACAACUUCAUUUGUUUCCAUAGAGUUCAAAUGGCUUUCAUUAAACAAAGAUAGCCCACAGUGAUACUUACUAAUAAUAAGUAUUGGGAUUCUACCUCCUUUGGCUGAGUUUUGCUUCUCACUCAGAUCUGAGCAUUCAUCCAAGCAGCCUGCAGUUCCACACGCUCUGGGGAAGGGUGACCCCAGUCUGUUUCAGCCUUGUUCUGAAGCAUGCAAGAAAGCAGAACAGUCACAGGCUGAAACCCUGCGCAAAGCAAUGCAAAUCUGUAAGACAGCAACCACAAAUCAAACAGCACUUUAAGGGUAAAAUGAGAUUUGAAAAAGGUAACUUAGUGUUACAGCAGAAUUCCCUGUUGUGUAUCCAAGAAGCAAAACUGCUUUGGCAUCACACUGGCUCACCAUUGGCACAGCAGACAUGGCUCAGGGUCGACAAGACAGGAAAAAUGAAAGCACUGCUGGAAGUAGUAGGAUCCAAAGAAACUUCCUGCCCUCGCUGUGCAGUGAGGGGCUGCACCUCAAGAAUGUUAUGUGCACUGCCACCAGGAAGUGUUGUGACAGAACGCGCCUCAGCACGAGACCCUGACCAGCUUCCAUACGUUGUAAGAAACUGUGCAGGGGCUGACUGCAGUCAGGUUGCGUUCUUGAGGUAAAAAGAGGGAUAUCUACUCGUGUUUUCAACUUCAGCUACUGAAGUGCAAGUCUGAAACAAAUAUCUUCUAAGAAUGUAAUGAAAAUAUUUAAAUUCUUUGUAUGUUCAAAGUUUGUUAUCAAGCAAAGGAAUGAAUCAGUGCUGCUUGCUCACCUACUAGGGCUGUAUCUUACAGGAAGAAUACACUAGCCUGGCUUUUCUCCCUUUAAAAACAUUAAGUGCAUGUGAAAUUAUUAUUUCAGGCUGUUUUCACAUGCAAAGCCUGAACCCUUGCAACUCGUGCACGCUCUGUCACCUUAUUCCUUUAAUACUGUUAGUUAAACUACAAUAUAUCUAAAACAUAGGAAGGAUGUUACUACAGAAAAAGCAGAUUAAACCAGUCAUUAACUCUCACCGCUUAUCGUGUGAGCAGACUGGAAAGAGUUUUUGCCUUCUGGCAAAUACCAAACCACAUCUAUGCAGUGUUGUGGCUGCAGACAGGCCUUUGCUGGUGGGACCUGCCUGUGUUUCAGUGCAUUCACUCCAACCCUUUGGCACAACUGGUUAAUGAUGUAGCUGCCUGUCUGACACUGAGCUGCACUUCCAAAGAAGAAAAACUGCUUCUAGAAGGUGGAUCAUGUGCUCUAAAUGAAAGCUUCAUUUACUGCAAGACAUAAGACUUGAAAACUGAGAUUGUGGGUUUCCUGCCUACAGAAAAGUGCCAGGCUGCCCUCUACUCCAGUUUUUAGUGUUGCAUUUUACUGAGAAAGAAGUACUUCAAAUGCUUUUCCCAUUUAUGGGCACUGAGCUCAAGAAGCAGGUAUAGGAUAUUUUACCAUUCUUUCCCUCCCAGUCCACGCCAACUGUAGUUACAACUAACACAAGUGGAAACAAAGCUUCCAUGUCGUCAGUUAAAUUAAGUUCCAAGAAAAUUAUCCUCUGGGAUUUGAAGCUUACUUCAAAUUAUAUGCCAAUAACUACGCUGAAAGGUCUUGCCGAGAUUUUAUGUCAUAGUAAAGUGUGUGUGUAUAUAUGUAUAUAUACAUGCACACAUUAUAUAUAUAUAAUUUUAUAUAUAUAUAUAUAUAAAUGUACAGUUACUGUCUUCCUUUAGUUUGCCCAAGGUUUACAUUACACUCCAUUAUAGCCCAUGUAGAAGUGGAUGCAGGUAUCCAUGCUACCCAUCAAGUCCUAUUUCUUGUUUGCAAUUCUUCGUUUCCUUGUCGCCAGCAUGUCGUAAAAGGGGUCCCUGCUGAUACUUGCUCUAGAAGAAACAACACGAAUUGUCAGUUUGGUUAACAGUUCUCUGCUUUUGGAAACUGAAAUUUGUUCUCUCUUCCCUUUGGCUGGCUCCCCACUUCUAAUAAGAUAACGGAUUGCUGACCUACAAUCACAGCACAGCUCACGUUGGAAGGGACCCACAAGGACCACUGAGUCCAACUCUCAGCUCCACCCAGGACGAUCCAAAAUCCAAACCCCAUGUCGGGGAGCGGUGUCCAAACACUUUGUGAGCGCUGGCAGCACGGGGCUGUGCACACCACCUUUGUUGGCCUGGUCCAUGCCCACUGCCUUCUGGUGGGCACCUUCCCCUGCCCCCCAUCCACCGCUCCUGACAGCUCCGUGCCAUUCACUGCGCCCUGUCACUGUGCCAGGGAGCAGAGCUCAGCGCUGCCCUCCACUCCCAGGGAGGAGCUGCGGUUCCUCUGACCAUCAGAAGUAUUUGUUUAUAAACAGAGGGUGCUUAGCUAUAAUUUGUUAAAGAGUUCAUACUUCCAUCUUGAACAUAACUUGAACAUAACUUGUUCCUUUAAGUUUGGGUCUGCUAUAUAAACCUCAAGUUGAAUUCAAAUUAUAAAAGUUCUGAGCCGCACUGUGAACAAGCUCAAGAUAGCUGUCACCAAACACAAGAAGAACAGCAUAAAAUCAGGGUUAGGGUUGGUUCUCAAAAGGCUUUACAUUUGCUGAAAAGAUUCAAUUUUAAAAAAAAACAAAACAUUUUCUUCAUUUGAGUUAGAACCUGCUAUGGUACUUAGGACCAGACAGCCUGACUCAUCCACCCCAAAGAUCCUGACCUUAAUCCCAGAGGAUAUUGCCGAAUCAGAACUCUUUAAACAAGUUAAAAUGCAAGGUCUCUUCAUAUCUUAUUCAGAAAAGGAGCUUACGCUUCAUUUCUGAAAGAUAUUUAAAACUCUGAACUCACUUGAUGGACUUAAUCCACUCUUCUUUUUCUUCUGGAGUGGGAGCAGAUAUUCUGUACACUACGUGGUUGCCUUCCACCACUCUGCCAUCAGCUUCAGUUUUACAGGCUUUAAUCACUUGGCCUUUAUGACUGGGAUUAUAGAGCUCAAAGCAGUUCUGAAGGGCAGGAAUGGAAAAAUAUGUUAAAAACAAAGCAAAACAAACAACCCAGAAACAAAUUCAUUUACUACAAUCUCAGUUCCAAAUGUUUUACUUAUUCACUGAAAAAAUGAUAACGAGGGUAUCUUACUGGUUUUCUAGGGUCUUCAACUUCUCUUAUGCUAAGAUUUUCUAAUGGAAUAAUCCCUCUAGGUUCUUUGUCCUAAAAAAAAAAAAAAAGAAAAUACUGCCUGAUUAUUCCUUGCCAUACCCAGAGAAUAAAGGAAGCUCGCAGCAGUGUAUACUCACAGUGGUGUAUUCAAAGUAAUACAGGCAGUUAUCAGUCAAAAUGAACCACCUUCGUUUCCAUGUUUUUACUCUUCCCCCUAUAACCAAAAGGCAUUGAUAAGUUGAACACGUCACUGUCAGGGCUUCAGCAAGUGAUAAGAAGAAAGCAAUUGAGUUUUGUUUGUUUUUCCAAUAUAUAUUUUAAUUGCUUAAUUGCAGAUGGAUCAGGCACAGAUGAGCUGAGGUUAGGAACAUUUCUGUAACUUGUACAAAGCUCCUGAGUCAGCAUUAACUAUGGUGCACAAAAGCAUUAUGGCAGGAGUCUGUACACUCUCUCAGGUUUCACCCAAACCCAAGGGCUCAGCAGAGCCCUGAUACUACUGCUGUACAGCCCUCAGAAAUGCAGAGCCAGUGCUGCUAUGGGAAAGCAGCAAAGCAGGAACUGGGCUCCAACCACGGGGCCAGCCCUGCCCACAGCCUGCCUUUUCACAAGGAUGGGGUCUCCUCAGUAAAAUUCAGGACAUUUUAUCACCUUCCUUCCACUUGUGACUUCACACGUGAUUAUGAACCUCUCUGUAGUUCUGCAUUUAGCAUCCAGUGUGUUAAGUGCUUAUAAACACUGCUGCUUGCAAGCAGAACAAAUCUGAUGAGUCAACAACAAGGAGCAAAUGCAGAAAUCCUACACCAAAGUGCUUGUACUCACUUUCAAUAAUUUAUUGUUCUCCUAAUGGGAGACGUGCCCCUGAGUACAUCUGACAGAAGGCACAGCUCCUGCUCCAGAAAUGCCAUCAUUUCCCCACAGCAGCAGCUGCUGCACUGCUCACUCACGCCUGCUGAUGUCCCGCUGCGUGGAUCAGCUCCUUGCAGGAACACACAUUGCUGUCAGUCCUUCCAUCCCCUGUUCUGCCUAAGAACCACUCCAUUAUCCCAUAAGUGAAACUUUCAAGAAUCAUUUCCAGGGAAGAGGAAGUAAAUAAAGAACUCCCAUGUGACAAACAUACAGGCCGAGUUCCACCAUAGCUAAACGACUUCAGGAUUGAGGCUCCACCUGUGCAUCAUCCAUCCAGCAAUCAGUCACUCUCAUUAUUCCUACUGUCUCCAAAUAAUUGGUUUUCCUACUGAACACCCUUGCACAAAAUAGUUCUGUGAAUACACACAAGGUUCCCCAUUUAUUUAAAGUCAUAAACAAAUUUAAGAAAGAAUUUUUUAGCCAACUGCUCUUCUUCAGAUAGUGGGAAUUUUGUUGAUACUCUGGAUUUCAGUACUGAAGUUAAAAAGCAGUUCUGGGGAUCUCGUUUUGUUUUAGAUCCAUAGACAAGUAUUUGCAGUGCAGACCAAGUCCUGCUGCAUGCUCCACCUUCCGUUCAGUCGGUUUUAGGACCUCAGGAUAACGCAGUGCAAACACUGCAGCAUCCAGAGGACUCAGAUUUUAUGCUUCCACUACACACACACACAUCUCAAGAAAAAAUUAAUCUGCAAGCAGGUGUGGUGAAAUAAGAGAAGGCAAAAUAGUGCAAGAUGCAAAAGCUGUGACAGAAUGGAUGGUUGAGUGAACUGGAGACAGUGAGGGAAGAACUGGUGGCAUUUGAGUACAACCACUGUGACAGGUCCUUAAAUAAGGCACUGUAGAAACACUCAAACUGGCACGUAAGUCACUACAGAAAUUCCCAUUGCUUGACUGAGAGCUGGUUCAAGCAGCACCAGGUAUUCGGUCUGGGAACAGAAAGCCAACAAACCACACCCUGAUUCACUUCUGGAUCAAUGAAAAAGCAGCAGCCAAGUCAAGCUGACUGCCAGGGCAGUCCAUCCUUUCACUCUACCACCACGUUUUUCAUGCAGUCCAAGGGUCACUGCACUGUUAACUGCUGCUCCCAUCCCUCUCAGCCAGCCAGGUUCUGCAGCUCAGCUGAGUGCCAUAACAAGAGCACAGGUGCCUUUUCCACCAAGCAAUGCGUUACUCUUCCAUAAAAAAGGCAUCGAAGCAGGACUUUUUUCUUCCAAAACGAUCAACCGUUCUCAAAUAUAAGCCUGUAUCUCUACCCCAAUACUCAGCUGCAGCUGUCCAGCAGAACAGAAACUCUUUAAUAAACUUGAAAGGCAAUCUGAUCUGCACUCAUCAUGGUUGCAGGCAUCCCUGUACAACGUGCAUUUAAUCUGCCCUUACCGUGGGCUAAAAGCAGGAAGCUGGUUGAUAAGGCUGUACUGACCACAAACACAGCGCACAAGAUUAAUGUGUAGGAACUAUUGAUAACAAAAUGUUAUUUUUCUUGGCCAAGAUUGCUGCAGGCUCACAAAACAUCACACUGCUUAGUGCUGUGCUCCCUGCCUUAUUCCAGCCUUUUAAAGAUUACAGCUAAGAAGGCCUCAUUUAUCAGAAGAGGACCAAGGCAAUCAGCGUAUGAAUCCAUAAAGCUUUACAGAAAUGGACAGAUGCAGAGGAUGUACUUCUCAAAGAUCCAGUUGAUAAAUUAAAAUGCAAAGACAUCUUAAAUAACAAAAUAAAGCAGUGUAUCAUCUUGUUGGCAGAAUUCUAAGGGAACUACACGUAAAGGCCAUAACAAGGCCAAGUGCAGACAAAGAGGGAUACAGAUCUUCUUUGCCUACAUAACCCAACACAGGAAUAAUUUUUUUCCAGCUCUGGGUGACAUAAGAGCACAGCAAGGUACCAGAAAUAAAACCCACACUCAGGAAGGCCCUCAGCUUCCUGACUGCUGCUCCCCCGUUGGAUUUGAGAAAAGCAGAGCCAUCCUCCCAAGGACAGAAGCACUGCAACAAACACCACAGGCACAGCAGGCAGUGAGGCACCAGGAUGAGCAACCACCUGAUGGGCAGCCGAAGUUCACAUCUCGUGUCAGGCUGGAGUCGCUUCCUGUCCUGUUCAGAAGAGCAACAUCACAGCUUUCCUUUCCCCAGAGGAAAUCACACACACCAAGCUGCUUGCCAGCUGAAGCCAUUUCAGACACAGAAAUGCCCUCCCUGUUGCUGGGCACUACCAAAAAGAAUCUGUCCCCAUCCAUGUGACACCCAUCCUCUAGUUGGUAAGAUCCCCUGUUGGUCUUCUCCAAGCUCAACAGCCUCAGGUGUCUCAGCCUUUCCUCCUAAAAGAGAUGCUCCAGGACUCUCAUCAUCUUUGUGGCUCUCCACAGGACUCUCUCCAGUAGUUCACAACAUAGGCUUAUUAAAACCACCGACAGAAAAGCAACUGGCUGAGUCUAGCUAGCUAAAACCAGAGGUGCUGCCCAACACCCAGUCUGGUGCUUGAAUUUGCACUGAGCCACAGCUGAACUGAAUUCAGAGCAGGAAGCUUCACGAAAGCAAGCAUUUUUGAAACAUGGCUUUCUAAAGCACAAUGCCAGGCUCCAGAGCUAGGGAAGUCUUUAGGAGAAGCAAACUGUAUGACAUAUCAAAGACUGACAACAUCCAUCUCCUGCCCAAAGAAUAAUCAACAUGGUGAGUUGGCACAAGGAGCCAAAUGGGAAGAGAAGCAGUAAGAAGUACAAAAUAAGGACUUGAGAGACUCUGGAUUUAAAGGCUCAUCUUCAUUGUUUUAUAUAUUAAAAAAACUCUUCAGCAAAUAUUAAUACAGUGGAGCACUUAAACUCACAGCCUGGAAUACAAUCUCCAUCAAUUUCAGAAUGUUUCCCAACAGAAAGGACUGCAGAUGGUCUGUAGCAAUGCAGACAGUGUGGAUGAAGGCAGCACCCCCUCACUGUUUAAACCUCCUAGCAAGCAGGAAACUCAAGGGAGAGAAAAACAAAGAAAGAAGAAAAAAAGCACUGUUUAUUUCUGGUCAAUGCACACAACCCAGCAAAGUGCAUCUGUGUGCACCCUAUUCAGAUAACCUGCUGCUGCGAGGCCAGGCUGCAGCUUGUAGUCCCAUCCACAUGUUUGCUGCUGGGUUUCCAUGUGCUGCCUCUCAUCACACCGUGCUCAAAGCCAGAGCCAGAGAUCACUUCUACAGAAGCACCUGGCAGCGCUCAGCCACUCUUUUUUGUUCCAUUUCUUUGUUCCUUCUACAUAUUUAUUUAUGUAGAUCUCUCAUAUGUGUUCUGUUGACAACUUCUUCCAUGGUGUAUGGCUGGUACUCCUCUACAUACACAGCACUCCUAUUUAUACUGUGUGUGCAUAAACUUACGAGUGAACGGAUAUAAAUGUGCAGUUUUCACUGUAUUCAGACAGUUUAUUCCCAACCUCCAGAACAAGCAUUUUUUUCUACUUUGUCUUAAAAGCUUUUCAGCUGAGAUAGCUAUUGCCUCAUACUAUAACAUGGAGAAAACCUGCAAAGUCGUCUUUGAAACUGUAGCAGCUCAGCCACUGCAUGCCAAAAUGAGCAAGGAAUCAGCUCUGCUCUUUUUUGCAGUUAGACAAAGAGUCUCUCUAUAGUGGAGAGGUCAAAACCAGACGUUGCAGAGCACCUGAACAAUUUACAAAUAGCUGCUCAUGUGUCCUUCCAGCAGUAGCACAACUGCUGGUUUCCAAACACCAGCAGAGAGCCCACGGCUCUCCCUUGCUCAACUUUCACCACAGUGCACAGCCCACCUCUCACCCCAAGCGCGGAUCCCUCUUCACACUGCAGUCACCAUUCUCCAAGUGUGAAGUGCCCUCUUCUUUAGUAAGUUCAAGUGGCCUAACACUGGCUCCAAUGGAGUGUGUCACUACUGGCUUUGUAGAAAAGAGAUUUAUUGCAUCGGGAAAAAAAGCAAAUGAAAAAGACAAAUUUUACUGCCUUACAGAGGAGAAGAGUCCCUGAGCACAAGUAAAGCUGAUGGGAUUCGUUUGUUUAACUGAGGCCGUAACACAGCGCAGUGCCAGGGGACUGCAAAUCACCAAAGGUUCCAGCCCCCCUAAACUUCACACUAAUUUAAGAAUGUAUUUGGCUUGCUCAGUAGGAUGUUUACAAAAGAAAAUACGCAGGAAGAAGAGCAGCUGUGAUGUAUGUGAAGUUCCAAUGCAAUCAGGUUUUUCCAAAAUUCUAAUGUACAGAUGUACAAGUAACAAAAUCACGCUGGAUCUUCAUUAUAAGAGCACAAAAUGUUUUUCUCUUGGUCAAAAUUGUUCUUCUAGUUAUAUUCUUCAGUGAAUGCAGUGAAGUCGUCUCUUUUUCUGCUUUCCGCUUAAACACCUUCUUUUGCAGAAGACACUUGCACAUGAGCUAGACACUCAUGCCAGCCUUUGUGGACAGAAUACCUCUGAUGAUACUGUUAGUGACACCGAGUGAAAAAGCAAAAUGCUACAAUAAAUUUAAGAAAAAAUAACUAAGAAAACUAAAAGAAAACGACAAAAAAAAAAAGAAAAAGAAAACAGAGGAGGGAGGAGGAAGAAAAUAAAAGAAUGAGCAACUGAACAAGAGGGCACUGGAAAGCAAUCAGAUACGUACCUCCUAAUGCAGAAUAAGCAGAGACAGCCAGUCACAGAACAGAAAGGUGAUAGGUCAUAGGCCAUAAGGAAAACAAGAAGGCACAUUUAAACCACUCAUUAAAAAAUCAUAGCCAAAACCAAACCAAGAGAAACUCACAAAUAAUAUGGAAAAAUAAAGACACACAAAAAUAACUCUCUGACAAGAAAUCCUGUUUUUGCACACAGAAAACUGAGCUGAAAUUUGACAUGAGUUCUGUGCAGUGACUACACGGAGGUUUGGCUGUUAUCUAUCCAUCACGGCACACGGCACCACACCGAGUUUCCUUUCUGUUGCUGAGUUUUCAGUUCUCAGAUACCAGAAACAAAACUCCAAAGUCUGAAAAAAGAUUGCUGGUUUGUAUACGUGAAAUAAGGAGUAACAACCUUCAGUUGUAAAGGAGUUACUUAUUUUGGCUUACACAUUUUUAAGUGUAAAUUACAGUGUGAACCGUUUUACAUUGAUAAGGAAGCAGCUGGACACAGGAGCAGCAGACACACAAACAACGAACAGACACAGCAGCCAGGCUGCUCUCGGAACUCACCUAAUUUCAGCAGCCAACCUUCUCUAUCUGGAUUAAAAAAUGUAUGCGUUAGAUCAUUUCCAUCAUCCUCUGGAAUUUUAAAUGGCUCAUUCUUAAUACUUUCAUAUAAAUUCUAGAAGAAUAAAAAAAGAGGAAAAAGACCUCGUUAGUAACGUCCAUCAGAAAGUACAACAAUGUCCUACUGCUUCUCAGUUUCUUUGUACAAAAAGCAAAGGAAAUACUGCCAAAAAUUUCUGGACCAUCCAUUCCCAAUUGUUGUUCACUUCUCUGAGUGACCAGAAGGAAGCUCCGCAUGCACAUAACUGAACAGACCAGCAGUGCUAAGACACUAUGCCCUUCUGUGCAGGAUGGGAGAGCUCUGUUGGCUUUUUAUGGCCUAAGUACUUCUAGAGGAUGUAAUUCAAUAGAAAACUGAGCUGCAUUUCUAACGGAGGGGAGUCACUUGAAGCAAUGAGACUGGCAGAAGUGUAUUUCACCUUAAUUUCCUGGAUUAAUUGUGGAUUUCCAUAAGCAACACUGCAUGCUUCACAAGGUAAAUAUGAAUAAAGUAGGAAGAAACUGCUUGUACCAAAGUCUACCUCUGUGCAACUGCACAUAAGCAGUAAUUCUGGCCUGCAGUGCUCUUGCACCCAUAGGAACAAGUGGAAGAAACGGACGAAGAAGGGGACAGCAAAGAAAAUGAUCUGUUUGGCUGGGGCUUUGUUUCAACCCAUCUCUGUGCUGAGAUAUCAAAUUGUCUUCAAAUGUUCGCAUUUGGCAGACACACCAAAAAGGCACAGCUACAAACAAUUGGAGGUGCUAAAACAGAACCGCCUCUGCUAAGCUGCCUAGUGAGGUACAGAGUCAUGCUGUGUUACAUCAGCUUUCUGACAAGCAGAACGCAGUGACUCCUAUGAAUGUGCAAUUUAAUGCAGGAAGAAAAACAGAAAGACUUUACUCACCGUAAGGCUUGUACAAGAUUGAGAUCAGCAAACUCAUGGAGUUCAACAAAAGCCUGAAGAACUUUAAUAUUAAAUUCAUCUCUGUGAAAGAGAAAAAUGGAAAUAAACAAUUACAAUGCUGAACUUCAAAGCCUUUAGUUACCUCUAUCUUUUUCUUAUAGAAUAAGCAAACAUAUUAUAGUGAUCAAGCCAAACCAAAUGAAUUGCUGUCACGUUCAAUUUUAAUUGCUAGUGUUUUGCCCAUUUCUGCUAGCAUUUAAAAGCUAAGCUAUCAAGAGCCACUACACCUGAAUAGAUUUCAACACUGCUUUUUUAAACGCCCUGAAAGUGGCCUGUCUUGCUUUGCUUCAUAUUUGUUCUUCUUGCACCUACCCUCACAGGGGAAAAUACUUGAUAAUAAA